This 859-nucleotide unclassified non-coding RNA is filed under the name Hevea brasiliensis (rubber tree). Lineage: Eukaryota; Viridiplantae; Streptophyta; Magnoliopsida; Malpighiales; Euphorbiaceae. The record is from RNAcentral.
CCUUCCUUGCAUGGAAACGGGCCACGUAUGGAUGAGAAGUUGGACGUGAAUCAAACUGGACACAAUAACGCAAAGGCCUGGUAUUUGCAAAGGCAGUAUCAACUUCCAAGAAGCGGACAAUUUCUUGCACCACUAGCUUCCACUCUUUGAAGUUUGUUUCCCGGAAAUUUGACUGUGCUAUCAUCAACGAGAGUUCUAAACCUUUCUACAAGCAAUUGAACCAUCUCGGUCCGGUUCAAAAUCAAGGAAACGAGCAAAAACCGCGCGUAAAACCUCAACUCCUUAAAUCUCACACCGACAUCCUUAGCUUUAGCUCCUUCAAAGUACUUUCGAUGCAAAAUCGCUUCAUAGAACACAUAGGCUUCGAUCAAGAAUCUCAAAUCACUCGUCCUCAUAUACUGGUUAAAGUAGAGCUGGCCGAUCCGGCUAGCGAUCUCGCCUAUUUCCCAGCGGUUGAGACCGGCCUCGACCAGCUUCGACCUGUUCUCUUGCUGGUACUUCCAUAGACGCAGGUAGGCCUUGAAAACCUUCUGGAAGUAGUGGUUCUGAUCACGUCCGUACGACGGAAGGUCACGAACACGAGCGAACUUCCGGUCCGCGCUCUCCACCAGAGCUCGGAAGGUUUUCGAAACGACGUCGCUCUGGGCGGCCAUAAUUAGCGGGCGAAGCGGAAGGAUGCGUUACCACCGGAGCCGGAGGUGGUUGUUGGUGGUUAUCAUCGGCAGUCGUGCAGAGCUCGAGAGAGAGAGAGAAGGAGAACGUAUCCUUCGCUCUCUUUGUUUUUCUUUUUUCUUUUUUAAUUUUUUGGUGUGAGCUGUGAGUAAAUGGUGUCAGCGUAAUAUAUACUUUGGAUUUUGGC